RNAcentral lists this ribosomal RNA (424 nucleotides) under Verrucomicrobiota bacterium. RNAcentral's name for it is "Verrucomicrobia bacterium partial 16S ribosomal RNA". It matches the Rfam family "Bacterial small subunit ribosomal RNA", at positions 355 to 776 of the family's 1533-position model. The record is from RNAcentral. Lineage: Bacteria; Pseudomonadati; Verrucomicrobiota.
UGAGGAAUAUUGGUCAAUGGGCGAGAGCCUGAACCAGUCAAGUAGCGUGCAGGACGACGGCCCUAUGGGUUGUAAACUGCUUUUAUGUGGGGAUAAAGUGCGUGACGUGUCAUGCAUUGCAGGUACCACAUGAAUAAGGACCGGCUAAUUCCGUGCCAGCAGCCGCGGUAAUACGGAAGGUCCGGGCGUUAUCCGGAUUUAUUGGGUUUAAAGGGAGCGUAGGCUGUCUAUUAAGCGUGUUGUGAAAUUUACCGGCUCAACCGGUGGCUUGCAGCGCGAACUGGUCGACUUGAGUAUGCAGGAAGUAGGCGGAAUUCAUGGUGUAGCGGUGAAAUGCUUAGAUAUCAUGACGAACUCCGAUUGCGCAGGCAGCUUACUGUAGCAUAACUGACGCUGAUGCUCGAAAGUGCGGGUAUCAAACAGG